UACAGGGGGUGCAAACGUUGCUCGGAAUUAUUGGGCGUAAAGCGCGCGUAGGCGGCUACUUAAGUCGGAUGUGAAAGCCCUUGGCUCAACUGAGGAAGUGCACCCGAAACUGAGUGGCUUGAGUAUUAAAGAGGGUCGCGGAAUUCCCGGUGUAGAGGUGAAAUUCGUAGAUAUCGGGAGGAACACCGGUGGCGAAGGCGGCGACCUGGGUAGAUACUGACGCUGAGGCGCGAAAGCGUGGGGAGCAAACAGG
This 253-nucleotide ribosomal RNA is filed under the name uncultured bacterium. RNAcentral's name for it is "partial 16S ribosomal RNA". It matches the Rfam family "Bacterial small subunit ribosomal RNA", at positions 524 to 776 of the family's 1533-position model. The record is from RNAcentral.